UUUCCUACGGGGGGCAGCAGUGGGGAAUAUUGCACAAUGGGGGGAACCCUGAUGCAGCGACGCCGCGUGAGUGAAGAAGUAUUUCGGUAUGUAAAGCUCUGUCAGCAGGGAAGAAGAAAGACGGUACCUGACCAAGAAGCCCCGGCUAACUACGUGCCAGCAGCCGCGGUAAUACGUAGGUGGCAAGCGUUAUCCGGAUUUACUGGGUGUAAAGGGAGCUUAGACGGCAGGGCAAGUCUGGGGUGAAAGGCAGUGGGCCAACCCCGGGACGACUCUGGAAACUGUCCGGCUGGAGUGCAGGAGGG
RNAcentral lists this ribosomal RNA (305 nucleotides) under uncultured bacterium. RNAcentral's name for it is "bacterial SSU rRNA". It matches the Rfam family "Bacterial small subunit ribosomal RNA", at positions 335 to 656 of the family's 1533-position model. The record is from RNAcentral.